UGGGCUCCUGUCCUCAGGUCCAUUCGGAGCAGUGGCAGCUGUCCACCAGCCAGAUACCUGUUCAGCAAAUGCAUCUGUUUGACGUCCACAAUUACCCGGACUAUGUUUCCUCGGGCGGUGGAUUCGGGCCUGUGAGUGGAGCUGGGGCGCGCUGGCCCCUAGAGGAAAGAGGGGGCUGGGGGCCUGCACUCCUGCGUAGUGGGGGUGGAGGGGACCGGAGCUAUUUUCUUCCCUUCACUCUUUCCGACUCCAGGCUGAUGACCAUGGUUAUGGUGUUUCUUAUAUCUUCAUGGGGGAUGACAUGAUCACCUUCCACAUCUCCAGCAAAAAAUCAAGCACAAAAACGGAUUCCCACAGGCUGGGGCAGCACAUUGAGGACGCACUGUUGGAUGUGGCCUCCCUGUUCCAGGCGGGACAGCAUUUUAAGCGCCGGUUCAGAGGGUCAGGGAAGGAGAACUCCAGGCACAGGUGUGGAUUUCUCUCCCGCCAGACUGGGGCCUCCAAGGCAUCAAUGACAUCCACCGACUUCUGACUCCUUCCAGCAGGCAGCUGGCCUCUCCAGGGAAUAAGGGUGAAGAUUGUCACAGCUGGCUGACACAGGACAGGGGCAGCCAGUUUGGCAACCCCACAUCCAGGCCAAUAAAGAUGUGUG
RNAcentral lists this small RNA (652 nucleotides) under Pongo abelii (Sumatran orangutan). RNAcentral's name for it is "retained intron". The record is from RNAcentral. Lineage: Eukaryota; Metazoa; Chordata; Mammalia; Primates; Hominidae.